UUUAUUUUAGCAUCUGUGAGCCCUGAUGUAUAGGGUGCUCUACCUGUUUGAACAGAUGGUACCUACCUUAAAGACCUUAUAGCAGUGAGGUGAAUCUGAACAAAGACAGAGAAAAAGUAAAGUGAAAGAUCAUAGCAGUGAAGGCAAAGAGCUCAUAGAGCAACUCAUCAAUGGCUAGAGGUAAUCAUACCAAGAUAAACUUUAAAAGAGGCUCUUCAGCCAGUCAAGAAUUGUUUCAUUGAAGUCCCAUUUCUCUUGGAUUUUCAAGCUUGCAAUUUGAAACCCCUGAUGGCUCCUGAAGUCUUCUCUCCCUCUUUUCUUCAAGCCCUGCAAUGUUCUGUCCAUCCUGGAGAGUUCUGGGAAUGCCAGAACCAUCCUCAGUGACAACUCAAGCCGUUUUGGAAAGCUUCUGAAUGUCCACCUGCGACAGUGAGUUAAAGGAACAUCUUGGGAUGCUAUCCUUCUCAGCUGUCAAGGGGUGCUUGGGUGAGUAAAGGUCUAGCAGUGCUCAGAGCUCUUGUGAUAGUUCUUUCUCCCUUACACUCUGUUAUCAUCAGGAUAUGAAAAGAACCAAGUUGGUCAGGUCAUACCCUUGUUUCUCAGCAACAACACCCUCUGCUAAACCUUCAGAGAAGUGAAUCUAUAGAAUCUAGCUUCUGACAGGAUCUGCGGUUAUCUUACACUUGUGAUAUCAUGGUGGGAAAAUCCAUCUCCCAGUCCCUGCUGGAGAAGUCUCAUGUGGUAUUUCAGGCCCACGGUGAGAGGAAUUACCAUGUGUUUUAUGAGCUACUAGUUGGGCUGUCCGUGGAGCAGAAAGUUAUGUACUUGCAAGAGGCAGUCUUAGCUGACUCAGGUGAGUGAGGGCAAAGCAUGUGACAUCCCCCAUCCUGGGGAAGGAGGACAGCAAGCACUUUCUGGUCUUGGUGCAAGCUCUGGAGGAAAUCAGCAUCUCCAUCAGCUGACCUCUACCUGCGCUGUGCUGGCUGCCCUCUGCAACUGGGAACACUUGCUUUGCCUCCUGUGAGGUACACUAACCCUUGGCAACUUGGGAAUGGGUUGU
This is a long non-coding RNA of Pezoporus flaviventris, 1060 nucleotides long. RefSeq lists it as uncharacterized. Lineage: Eukaryota; Metazoa; Chordata; Aves; Psittaciformes; Psittacidae. The transcript is spliced from 4 exons. The record is from RefSeq and is a predicted model, not a curated record.